CCUACGGGAGGCAGCAGUAGGGAAUCUUCCACAAUGGGCGAAAGCCUGAUGGAGCAACGCCGCGUGAGUGAUGAAGGCCUUCGGGUUGUAAAACUCUGUCAUUCGGGACGAACCGGAGUCUGAGGAAAUGCAGACUCUCUGACGGUACCGGAGGAGGAAGCCCCGGCUAACUACGUGCCAGCAGCCGCGGUAAUACGUAGGGGGCAAGCGUUGUCCGGAUUCACUGGGCGUAAAGCGCGCGCAGGCGGUGAUGUAAGUCUGAGGUGAAAACCCGAAGCUCAACUUCGGGACUGCCUUGGAUACUGCGUCACUUGAGGAUAGGAGAGGCAAGGGGGAAUUCCACGUGUAGCGGUGAAAUGCGUAGAGAUGUGGAGGAACACCUGUGGCGAAGGCGCCUUGCUGGCCUAUUUCUGACGCUGGGGCGCGAAAGCGUGGGGAGCAAACAGGAUUAGAUACCCUGGUAGUCCACGCUGUAAACGAUGAGUGCUAGGUGUAGGUGGGCUCAUACCCAUCUGUGCCGAAGCUAACGCAUUAAGCACUCCGCCUGGGGAGUACGGUCGCAGACUGAAACUCAAGGAUUGACGG
Molecule: ribosomal RNA, 585 nt
Filed under: uncultured bacterium
Lineage: Bacteria
Description: bacterial SSU rRNA
Rfam family: Bacterial small subunit ribosomal RNA
Source: RNAcentral